UGGGGAAUUUUGGACAAUGGGCGCAAGCCUGAUCCAGCCAUGCCGCGUGCGGGAAGAAGGCCUUCGGGUUGUAAACCGCUUUUGUCAGGGAAGAAAUCUUCUGAGUUAAUACCUCGGGAGGAUGACGGUACCUGAAGAAUAAGCACCGGCUAACUACGUGCCAGCGGCCGCGGUAAUACGUAGGGUGCAAGCGUUAAUCGGAAUUACUGGGCGUAAAGCGUGCGCAGGCGGUUUUGUAAGACGGAGGUGAAAUCCCCGGGCUCAACCUGGGAACUGCCUUUGUGACUGCAAGGCUUGAGUGCGGCAGAGGGGGGAUGGAAUUCCGCGUGUAGCAGUGAAAUGCGUAGAUAUGCGGAGGAACACCGAUGGCGAAGGCAAUCCCCUGGGCCUGCACUGACGCCCAUGCACNAAAAGCGUGGGGAGCAAACAGGAUUAGAUACCCUGGUAGUCCACGCCCUAAAACGAUGUCAAACUGGUUGUUGGGAA
This 486-nucleotide ribosomal RNA is filed under the name uncultured bacterium. RNAcentral describes it as "partial 16S ribosomal RNA". It matches the Rfam family "Bacterial small subunit ribosomal RNA", at positions 355 to 830 of the family's 1533-position model. The record is from RNAcentral.